GACGAACGCUGGCGGCGUGCUUAACACAUGCAAGUCGAACGGAAAGGCCCUGCUUGCAGGGUACUCGAGUGGCGAACGGGUGAGUAACACGUGGGUGAUCUGCCCUGCACUUCGGGAUAAGCCUGGGAAACUGGGUCUAAUACCGGAUAGGAGCCAUUUUUAGUGUGAUGGUUGGAAAGUUUUUUCGGUGUAGGAUGAGCUCGCGGCCUAUCAGCUUGUUGGUGGGGUAAUGGCCUACCAAGGCGGCGACGGGUAGCCGGCCUGAGAGGGUGGACGGCCACAUUGGGACUGAGAUACGGCCCAGACUCCUACGGGAGGCAGCAGGGGGGAAUAUUGCACAAUGGGCGCAAGCCUGAUGCAGCGACGCCGCGUGGGGUAUGACGGCCUUCGGGUUGUAAACUCCUUUCGCUAGGGACGAAGCUUUUUGUGACGGUACCUAGAUAAGAAGCACCGGCUAACUACGUG
This 465-nucleotide ribosomal RNA is filed under the name uncultured bacterium. RNAcentral's name for it is "partial 16S ribosomal RNA". It matches the Rfam family "Bacterial small subunit ribosomal RNA", at positions 28 to 507 of the family's 1533-position model. The record is from RNAcentral.